Molecule: unclassified non-coding RNA, 313 nt
Filed under: plant metagenome
Description: partial contains 5.8S ribosomal RNA, internal transcribed spacer 2, and large subunit ribosomal RNA
Rfam family: 5.8S ribosomal RNA (bases 1-104)
Source: RNAcentral
AAAUGCGAUAAUUAAUGUGAAUUGCAGAAUUCAGUGAAUCAUCGAGUCUUUGAACGCACAUUGCGCCCCCUGGUAUUCCGGGGGGCAUGCCUGUCCGAGCGUCAUUGCUGCCCUCAAGCACGGCUUGUGUGUUGGGCUUCCGUCCCUGGCAACGGGGACGGGCCCAAAAGGCAGUGGCGGCACCAUGUCUGGUCCUCGAGCGUAUGGGGCUUUGUCACCCGCUCCCGUAGGUCCAGCUGGCAGCUAGCCUCGCAACCAAUCUUUUUAACCAGGUUGAUCUCGGAUCAGGUAGGGAUACCCGCUGAACUUAAGC